AAAUUGAAGAGUUUGAUCAUGGCUCAGAUUGAACGCUGGCGGCAGGCCUAACACAUGCAAGUCGAGCGGUAGCACAGAGAGCUUGCUCUCGGGUGACGAGCGGCGGACGGGUGAGUAAUGUCUGGGAAACUGCCUGAUGGAGGGGGAUAACUACUGGAAACGGUAGCUAAUACCGCAUAACGUCGCAAGACCAAAGUGGGGGACCUUCGGGCCUCAUGCCAUCAGAUGUGCCCAGAUGGGAUUAGCUAGUAGGUGGGGUAAUGGCUCACCUAGGCGACGAUCCCUAGCUGGUCUGAGAGGAUGACCAGCCACACUGGAACUGAGACACGGUCCAGACUCCUACGGGAGGCAGCAGUGGGGAAUAUUGCACAAUGGGCGCAAGCCUGAUGCAGCCAUGCCGCGUGUGUGAAGAAGGCCUUCGGGUUGUAAAGCACUUUCAGCGGGGAGGAAGGCGGUGAGGUUAAUAACCUCACCGAUUGACGUUACCCGCAGAAGAAGCACCGGCUAACUCCGUGCCAGCAGCCGCGGUAAUACGGAGGGUGCAAGCGUUAAUCGGAAUUACUGGGCGUAAAGCGCACGCAGGCGGUCUGUCAAGUCGGAUGUGAAAUCCCCGGGCUCAACCUGGGAACUGCAUUCGAAACUGGCAGGCUAGAGUCUUGUAGAGGGGGGUAGAAUUCCAGGUGUAGCGGUGAAAUGCGUAGAGAUCUGGAGGAAUACCGGUGGCGAAGGCGGCCCCCUGGACAAAGACUGACGCUCAGGUGCGAAAGCGUGGGGAGCAAACAGGAUUAGAUACCCUGGUAGUCCACGCCGUAAACGAUGUCGAUUUGGAGGUUGUGCCCUUGAGGCGUGGCUUCCGGAGCUAACGCGUUAAAUCGACCGCCUGGGGAGUACGGCCGCAAGGUUAAAACUCAAAUGAAUUGACGGGGGCCCGCACAAGCGGUGGAGCAUGUGGUUUAAUUCGAUGCAACGCGAAGAACCUUACCUGGUCUUGACAUCCACAGAACUUUCCAGAGAUGGAUUGGUGCCUUCGGGAACUGUGAGACAGGUGCUGCAUGGCUGUCGUCAGCUCGUGUUGUGAAAUGUUGGGUUAAGUCCCGCAACGAGCGCAACCCUUAUCCUUUGUUGCCAGCGGUUAGGCCGGGAACUCAAAGGAGACUGCCAGUGAUAAACUGGAGGAAGGUGGGGAUGACGUCAAGUCAUCAUGGCCCUUACGACCAGGGCUACACACGUGCUACAAUGGCAUAUACAAAGAGAAGCGACCUCGCGAGAGCAAGCGGACCUCAUAAAGUAUGUCGUAGUCCGGAUUGGAGUCUGCAACUCGACUCCAUGAAGUCGGAAUCGCUAGUAAUCGUAGAUCAGAAUGCUACGGUGAAUACGUUCCCGGGCCUUGUACACACCGCCCGUCACACCAUGGGAGUGGGUUGCAAAAGAAGUAGGUAGCUUAACCUUCGGGAGGGCGCUUACCACUUUGUGAUUCAUGACUGGGGUGAAGUCGUAACAAGGUAACCGUAGGGGAACCUGCGGUUGGAUCACCUCCUUA
RNAcentral lists this ribosomal RNA (1540 nucleotides) under Klebsiella pneumoniae. Its description in RNAcentral is "bacterial SSU rRNA". It matches the Rfam family "Bacterial small subunit ribosomal RNA". Lineage: Bacteria; Pseudomonadati; Pseudomonadota; Gammaproteobacteria; Enterobacterales; Enterobacteriaceae. The record is from RNAcentral.